RNA transcript from Gadus macrocephalus (Pacific cod), 513 nucleotides. It is a transcript of the gene named oligosaccharyltransferase complex subunit 4 (non-catalytic), with no coding region annotated. NCBI's taxonomy places the organism in Eukaryota, Metazoa, Chordata, Actinopteri, Gadiformes, Gadidae. The record is from RefSeq and is a predicted model, not a curated record. The transcript is spliced from 4 exons.
CAGCGUUGAUGAUCUAUAUUGAACCAGAUGUGCCGAUGUGCUCUAAAACACAUUUUGGAGUUUGCUCUAGUCGGUCUAUUUCUAUGCCGGUGGCUUAGAGUGACGUGGCCUCGUCAGCCUAGCCGGAAGUAGGAGGGACUGUUGUGCAGCUGCAGUAUCGGUCGUGUGAAGUAAAACGUCAAACUAAAAUACACACAAUGGUGACAGACGUUCAGCUCGCAAUAUUCGCCAACAUGCUUGGUGUCUCAUUGUUCCUACUGGUCGUUUUGUACCACUACGUUGCUGUCAACAACCCCAAGAAAAUGGACUAGUUUCCCAACCAUGCCCCACAUCCAUCUUGCAUGGGAAGGUCUGAGGAUCGCCCCACUCAUCCUAUCAAGGUGCCACCAUCACAAAGACAACAUUCCUCCACCAUUCGUCCUGCCCUGUCUGCAAAUCCACAAGAUGAAUCCUGAUAUUGCUUCAGUUGUACAGCAGGUUUUUUUUCUAAGAAAUAAAUGAAUGAAAUAUGAA